This is a long non-coding RNA of Nomascus leucogenys (northern white-cheeked gibbon), 104 nucleotides long. RefSeq lists it as uncharacterized. The transcript has 3 exons. NCBI's taxonomy places the organism in Eukaryota, Metazoa, Chordata, Mammalia, Primates, Hylobatidae. The record is from RefSeq and is a predicted model, not a curated record.
ACUUCACAGCCCCCAGAACAGUAAGUUAAGUAAAUUUCUUUUCUUUAUUAAUUGCCCAGACUGUGGUACUCUGUUAUAACAACAGAAAAUAAGCUAAGAAGGAA